GUUAGAGGAGGCGGGUAGCCUAGUGGUUAGAGGAGGCAGGUAGCCUAGUGGUUAGAGGAGGCAGUUAGUCCAGUGGUUAGAGGAGGCAGGUAGUCUAGUGGUUAGAGGAGGCAGGUAGUCUAGUGGUUAGAGGAGGCAGGUAGCCUAGUGGUUAGAGGAGGCAGGUAGCCUAGUGGUUAGAGGAGGCAGGUAGACUAGUGGUUAGAGGAGGCAGGUAGCCUAGUGGUUAGAGGAGGCAGGUAGUCUAGUGGUUAGAGGAGGCAGGUAGUCUAGUGGUUAGAGGAGGCAGGUAGCCUAGUGGUUAGAGGAGACAGGUAGCCUAGUGGUUAGAGGAGGCAGGUAGUCUAGUGGUUAGAGGAGGCAGGGUAGCCUAGUGGUUAGAGUGUAGAGGAGGCAGGUAGUCUAGUGGUUAGAGGAGGCAGGGUAGCCUAGUGGUUAGAGUGUAGAG
Molecule: long non-coding RNA, 448 nt
Organism: Oncorhynchus tshawytscha (Chinook salmon)
Lineage: Eukaryota; Metazoa; Chordata; Actinopteri; Salmoniformes; Salmonidae
Source: Ensembl